GAUAUUUCCUUGCUUGUCAAUGCAGUAAAAGUUGCCUAAGAAAAACCUUCCAUCUUUAAUACCUAUGAGCAUUCGACGGAACAGCAGCUUUCUUACCUUUCCUACACGAUCUAAAAUCUCUGGGUUAGACUCAACAUUGCUCCCAUCCUGAACCAUGGAUCCUCCUGAUUCUUGUUCCAUCUAUGGUUACUUCAACUGAUCCCGGAAGUAGAAAAG
RNAcentral lists this unclassified non-coding RNA (216 nucleotides) under Hevea brasiliensis (rubber tree). Lineage: Eukaryota; Viridiplantae; Streptophyta; Magnoliopsida; Malpighiales; Euphorbiaceae. The record is from RNAcentral.